Molecule: ribosomal RNA, 425 nt
Filed under: uncultured bacterium
Lineage: Bacteria
Description: partial 16S ribosomal RNA
Rfam family: Bacterial small subunit ribosomal RNA
Source: RNAcentral
GUGGGGAAUCCUGCGCAAUGGGCGAAAGCCUGACGCAGCCAUGCCGCGUGGAUGAUGAAGGUCUUAGGAUUGUAAAAUCCUUUCACCGGUGAAGAUAAUGACUGUAGCCGGAGAAGAAGCCCCGGCUAACUUCGUGCCAGCAGCCGCGGUAAUACGAAGGGGGCUAGCGUUGCUCGGAUUUACUGGGCGUAAAGGGCGCGUAGGCGGACAUUUAAGUCAGGGGUGAAAUCCCGGGGCUCAACCUCGGAACUGCCUUUGAUACUGGGUGUCUUGAGUAUGAGAGAGGUGUGUGUAACUCCGAGUGUAGAGGUGAAAUUCGUAGUUAUUCGGAAGAACACCAGUGGCGAAGGCGACACACUGGCUCAUUACUGACGCUGAGGCGCGAAAGCGUGGGGAGCAAACAGGAUUAGAAACCCCUGUAGUCC